Molecule: ribosomal RNA, 1476 nt
Filed under: Salmonella enterica subsp. enterica serovar Typhimurium
Lineage: Bacteria; Pseudomonadati; Pseudomonadota; Gammaproteobacteria; Enterobacterales; Enterobacteriaceae
Description: bacterial LSU rRNA
Source: RNAcentral
GAAACCAAGCACCAUCAAAAAGGCUUUGCGAUUACGCCACAAACCUUUCAACGAACCGGCUUCUUUUAAUGCGCGAGUCUCAUGCUUCGAGGUUUCAUCCAGCUGGCGACGUAGCCAUAACCCARACCGCCAGCUAAGGUCCCAAAGUCAUGGUUAAGUGGGAAACGAUGUGGGAAGGCCCAGACAGCCAGGAUGUUGGCUUAGAAGCAGCCAUCAUUUAAAGAAAGCGUAAUAGCUCACUGGUCGAGUCGGCCUGCGCGGAAGAUGUAACGGGGCUAAACCAUGCACCGAAGCUGCGGCAGCGACGCUGAUGCGUUGUUGGGUAGGGGAGCGUUCUGUAAGCCUGUGAAGGUGUGUCGUGAGGCAUGCUGGAGGUAUCAGAAGUGCGAAUGCUGACAUAAGUAACGAUAAAGCGGGUGAAAAGCCCGCUCGCCGGAAGACCAAGGGUUCCUGUCCAACGUUAAUCGGGGCAGGGUGAGUCGACCCCUAAGGCGAGGCCGAAAGGCGUAGUCGAUGGGAAACGGGUUAAUAUUCCCGUACUUGGUGUUACUGCGAAGGGGGGACGGAGAAGGCUAUGUUGGCCGGGCGACGGUUGUCCCGGUUUAAGCGUGUAGGUGUGUGUUCCAGGUAAAUCCGGUUCACUUUAACACUGAGGCGUGACGACGAGGCACUACGGUGCUGAAGCAACAAAUGCCCUGCUUCCAGGAAAAGCCUCUAAGCAUCAGGUAACACGAAAUCGUACCCCAAACCGACACAGGUGGUCAGGUAGAGAAUACCAAGGCGCUUGAGAGAACUCGGGUGAAGGAACUAGGCAAAAUGGUGCCGUAACUUCGGGAGAAGGCACGCUGACACGUAGGUGAAGUGAUUUACUCAUGGAGCUGAAGUCAGUCGAAGAUACCAGCUGGCUGCAACUGUUUAUUAAAAACACAGCACUGUGCAAACACGAAAGUGGACGUAUACGGUGUGACGCCUGCCCGGUGCCGGAAGGUUAAUUGAUGGGGUCAGCGUAAGCGAAGCUCCUGAUCGAAGCCCCGGUAAACGGCGGCCGUAACUAUAACGGUCCUAAGGUAGCGAAAUUCCUUGUCGGGUAAGUUCCGACCUGCACGAAUGGCGUAAUGAUGGCCAGGCUGUCUCCACCCGAGACUCAGUGAAAUUGAACUCGCUGUGAAGAUGCAGUGUACCCGCGGCAAGACGGAAAGACCCCGUGAACCUUUACUAUAGCUUGACACUGAACAUUGAGCCUUGAUGUGUAGGAUAGGUAGGUGGCUUUGAAUUGUGGAAACAAGUCUGCAUGGAGCUGACCUAGAAAUAACACCCUUUAAUGUUUGAUGUUCUAUCGUGGACCCGUAAUCCGGGUUGCGGACAGUGUCUGGUGGGUAGUUUGACUGUGGCGGUCUCCUCCUAAAGAAUAACGGAGGAGCACGAAGGGUGAGUGAUCCUAGUCGGACAUCAGGAGGUUAGUGCAAUGGCGUAAGC